AUUGAACGCUGGCGGCAUGCUUUACACAUGCAAGUCGAACGGCAGCGCGGGCUUCGGCCUGGCGGCGAGUGGCGAACGGGUGAGUAAUGCAUCGGAACGUGCCCAGUAGUGGGGGAUAGCCCGGCGAAAGCCGGAUUAAUACCGCAUACGAUCUGAGGGUGAAAGCGGGGGACCGAAAGGCCUCGCGCUAUUGGACUGGCCGAUGUCGGAUUAGCUAGUUGGUGGGGUAAAGGCUUACCAAGGCCACGAUCCGUAGCUGGUCUGAGAGGACGACCGGCCACACUGGGACUGAGACACGGCCCAGACUCCUACGGGAGGCAGCAGUGGGGAAUUUUGGGCAAUGGGGGCAACCCUGAUCCAGCCAUGCCGCGUGCGGGAAGAAGGCCUUCGGGUUGUAAACCGCUUUUGUUCGGGAAGAAAUCCUCUGGGCUAAUACCCCGGGGGGAUGACGGUACCGGAAGAAUAAGCACCGGCUAACUACGUG
RNAcentral lists this ribosomal RNA (484 nucleotides) under uncultured bacterium. RNAcentral's name for it is "partial 16S ribosomal RNA". It matches the Rfam family "Bacterial small subunit ribosomal RNA", at positions 28 to 507 of the family's 1533-position model. The record is from RNAcentral.